CCAAUCCGCCGCCGCCGUCGCCCCCUCAUGCCCGUCUCUCCCAAUCUUUCCCUCUCUCGCACCCUGUCGCUUCCGCCGUCGGCCGCCGGCCAGUACGCCGUCCCUCCCCGCACUCACGCACGCGCGGCCAGUCCACCGAGGGGAGACUCCAUAUUGACAACGCGAAACCCUAGACGCCACGGAGAUGGAGCAUCUCCGCCGCCUCGCCCAGUUCUUGCUCGCCUCAGCUCGCGCGGAUGGAGCAGGACGCGCCGCCCGUCCCCUCGCACCAGGCCCAGGACGACGGCGCCGUGGACGGCUGGGCGCGUGACGGCACGGAGCCCCCCCUCCCUUAUGGCGCCCCGGCAGAGUGCCCCGAGGCCGCAGAUCCUCCUCCCCUCCUCGGCUACGUCUCCUCGGUCGCUCGUGCGCGACCCUCAACUUCUGCAGCGGUGGGAGGAGCCCUACGACGACAUGCUCCGGCGACCCUGCAUCCGCAAGAAAGCCACAUGGAUUGGGGAUAUGUACCUCGGUUUGGGUUUAAAGGGGCAAUCUUUGAGCAUUUGUAUAUCAACUAUCGAGGAUCUCAAGUUGACAUGGACCGCACUAUGAUCAAGUGCAUUCUGGUGCUAUGAUGAUUGUGACAGAAGAUUUUAGCUGCAGAAGCAAUCGCCAUGUCUCAGUUCCAAUAUUAAAAAUCAGUGCACCUGAAUUACGACACAAUUUUUGUCAUCUGGAACUGCGCUUAUAAGGUGUUUGGUCUUACGCUCCUGAAUACAAUGUGAUAUAAAAGGUUCAUGAAAUCAUCAGGUAUGGAAAUGCUUGGCCGUUUUUGUAAAUUACUUAGUACAAUAUUAUCAGUUUGUUUUUUACAUUAUUUCCCAGUUCUCUUGCAGUACUAUUCAACAACCUAUCUUCCUGCCUACUAGAUAAAAGAGGGGUUUUGUUUACUUAACAUGGUUGCCUGAUUAACAUAGUCAUGGUUUCGGUUAGUUAUUUUUUCCACUACCGAAGCAACAACUUAUCUUCCUACCUACCAGAUAUACUACUGGCUUAAGAAGCUCCACCAUUCUUUUAUAUGAUAUUAGAAAAAAUUGAGUUCUAACUUUGUUGAAAGACACGCACAGUUCUGAUGUUCUGGGGCCAAUGUUCAUUUCUAGAGGCAAAUACUCUCGGAUUUCUUAGUGAACUAUAAUCCCAUCUAGAUAACCCCCCUCGAUAUAGCUCCCUUUAUUUGUACGACACAAUCUAGCAUAUGACGGCUCUGAUUUGGAUUGUGCGUGUUUCUCCAAAAACUAGGAUUAUAGGCCUGAGAAUAAACAAAUAGCGUUAUAAACUUACCUCAAAGCCUAUGGGUUGACUGAAGCUUGAUAAAUAGUUUCAGAUGCACUAUGGUCUCAUAACAGUAGAAAUAAACUUCAAGGGAAAGAGAACCAUAAGUAUAGGUGACUGCAUAGUAGAAGAUGUGUAAUCUGUGUUGCACUAUACUGUCUUUAUAGAAGCCGACAGAAUCAGAGACAUCCUAAAUUUGGUUUUCUGUUCUUGUCAGUUAAGAAAAGAAACAUUAACUCCUGGAUUAUCAGUAAGGGAAUAUGCCUUAUUAGCAUACUCUUAUGGUCGUUAUUAUUGCUCAACGUUGUGAGGAAAAAGAAGAAUAUUCAGAUUUUUCUAUUUGUGGUUAUAUCUUUUGGAUAAACAAUAGAAGGGUAAACUGCGAAGAAGAAACAUAACGACCACCAGUAGUUAUAUCUUUAUUUUGAAUUAAACUAAAGUUGACAUGAUAGCAAUAUUUUAGAAUAUUCAGAUUUUUUCAAUAUUUAUGGUGAUUAUAUCUUUUGCACAUUAACUCUGAAACUGAACUAUUUGUGUCGGGCCAGAGAAGCGUAAUUUCAAUACAAACUGCAAUUGCUUGGGCAAGAGAAAUCAACUCAAUACUACAAUUUUCCAUAUGAUGUAGUAAGAGGGGGCGUACCAUUGUAAACCGAUGUAGGGUGAAGGCUAGCCGCAUCUUUGGCGUGUGGUCAAACCCGGCAGGCUGCAACUAUGUGGAGCAUCCACAUUACUGCCACCACAUGCUUGCUAAAACAGUUAAUAUGUUCGUCCCCGUACAUCGGCCACAUCUUCGGCGGGCAUGCUUGAUGCCAAAAUCGGGCAACUAUUGUUGUAUUGAGUAUCCAGAGAUGAUAACCGUCAUGAAAAUCACUGCAUGGAUCGAUGAUAUCCCACACGGUCUUUUUUGCAUCAAAAGCGUGACCCACUUUGGAUAAGAAUACACCAACCAUUUUGGUAAUGGGCAUCUCAACAGUUCUAUUUGGGCCUCAUUCCCCUAAUAUGCUAGUAAUUGUCUCCUUUCCUGUAUUUCUCUUAGUCUCACUCCCAAACACUUCAUGAUCUGAGAGAGGGAAUGCCAACAGCCAUGGCGGUAGUGUCCCCUCCGUCCGUUCAUGCAACUUGAGAGGCUCUAGCGAUGACGCAUGAGGGGCAUUGUCGUCACUAAGUUUGCCACCAUCCUAGUCGCGACGACAAUGCGACAGAGCAUAUAGUGGAGGGCAGAGAAAGACAGUCGAGGGAAAUGGCUUCAUUAGAAGAAUCCACAACACGCGGAUGACCAGUGUAGUAGAGAAGAGGAUGAGGGGGAAUUACUGGGGAAGCCCAAGGGGACAAGCCAAGUGAGGUAGCCUCAGGUAAUGAACAAGGCGGGGAAGUCGCAGGUGAUGACGGACUUGAUAAAGAAGCCAUUAGAGGUAGAAGAAACUUCAAUCCCUAGGAAGUAGCGAAGAGGACCAAGAUUAGACAUAAGAAAUCCACUAUGAUGAGCCUUCACAAUGGCAAAUGUACUUAGAGCCAUUGCCAGUGUUAUCGGCAUAUAGAAGAAGAGUUCGACCAUGAGUUGAGAGGUGGACAAGUGUAGGAUCAUGAGCACUCGCCGAAAACUAGCCGUAGUCACCAUCGAGACGAAACGUUCAAACCAGGCAUGAGAGGUUUGGUUAAGGCCAUAAAAAGUGACGAAGACGACAAACCAUGUCAUCAAGAAGAGAAUACCCAUGUGGUGACUACAUGUAGACCUCAUACAACUCAACACUAAGGAAGGCAUUCCUGACAUCAAGCCGAGAGACAGACCAGUGGCGAACAUAAGCCACAAUGAGAAGUGUGCAAAGGCCACGGGAGCAAAUGCUCAUUGUAGUCUUGGCCAUGUUCCCGAGGAAAGCCUUGCGCCACUAGAUGAGCUUUGUAACACUCAAGAGAACCAUCAGUGUAUUAACAUUAUAGACACACUUACAAGCGAUUGGACGAGCACGGGGAGGAAGAGAAAUGACGUCCCACGUGUCGAUGUGCACAAGAGCAAGAAUCUCCUCUACAAUCGCAUGCCGCCAUUCGGGAUGAACAAAUGCGUCAUGAUAAGAAGUUGUCUUGAGAAAAGCGGCGCCAGAAUAACCAUAGUGGUCAAUAGGCGGAAGCGAGAGCUCAAAAGCCAUAAGUAGGCUGAGCUGGAGGCGAUGCAUUGCCAACAGGAGAGGGCAUUGUAGUAGAGGGAGAUGGCUUGUCAGAAGGAUCCAUGACACGCGGACCACAAGUGUAGUGAAGAAGAUGAUGAAGGGGAAUCAUCGGGGAAGCCUCGUGGACGAGCCAGGUGAGGUAGCCUCAAGUAAUGAACGAGGUGGGGAAGCCGCAUGUGACGAUGUGUGGGGUCUAUAACAGUAGUACGGGAGGACACGCUGGGAUAGGUGGGCGAGGGCAAUAAAUGAGUGAUAAGUGUAUCGGGAAAAUUGAGGGAAGCAUCCUCAACUGGGGGGGGGGGCGAAGCAGAGGAUUGACGUGCAUAAAAAGGAUGACACUCAAUGAGAAGUCACAUCUCGAGAAAUGCGCACCCGAUGACUGACAAGAUCCCAACACUGAUAGCCCUUGUGCUCAUCACUGUAACCUAAGAAGACAUUCAACAGAUUGAUCAGACAGUUUGGUGCGUGAAGAACGUAGCAAACACAACCAAACAAAGUGUUUAGUACUCCAUCCGUCCGAAAAUACUUGUCAGAGAAAUGGAUGCAUCUAGACAUACUAUAGUUCUAGAUACAUCCAUUUUUAUCCAUUGGGGGGGGGGCGAAGCAGAGGAUGGACGUGCGUAAAAAGGACGAGAUUCAAUGAGAAGUCACAUCUCGAGAAAUGCGCAUCCGACGACUGACAAGAUCCCAACACCGAUAGCCCUUGUCCUCAUCACUAUAACCUAAGAAGGCAUUCAAUAGAUUGAUCGAACAGUUUUGGUGCAUGAAGAACGUAGCAAACGUAACCAAACAAAGUGUUUAGUAAUCCAUCCGUCCGAAAAUACAUGUCGGAGAAAUGGAUGUAUGUAGACAUAUUUCAGUUCUAGAUACAUCCAUUUUUGUCCAUUUGUGCGACAAGCAAUUCCGGACUCGGAGUUGUCAAGGGAAUGCCCACAAAGACGCUCGGAAUGUCACCAUGUAGAGCAAAGGAGGGAUGAUUAUUGAUGAGAUAGGUGGCUACGAUCAUCAACGCACUAGCCGCCUCAUGAAGUUCGCGAUGCUUGCGCUUAGCAACACCAUUCUGACCACGAGCACAAGACGAGAACUGAGCAAGUGUGCUUUUCUCAACAAGGAAUUCGUGCAGCAAAUGAGGGAUAUACACGAAAGGCAUGGAUAUGAGUGGAAAACUGAGUAUGAACCAAGGCGGCAAACUUCUUACAGAUAGACCUCACUACAAGAAGGCAUAAAAUAUAUCGACUUGUGUCGAGAGAAAUCAUUAUAAAGAUAAUAUAGUGGCGAUGGCCUCCUUUCAAGGCAAAGGCAGCUGGAUCCCAAACAUCAGAGUGAACAAGAUCGAAAGGACGCCGAGACAGAGUCUUGCUCUAAGGAUAAGGUAAUUGAACGUGUUUACCCAAAUAACAAUCUUGACUGUCUAAAGACACAUUACCAGAGACAGAUCCAUGGAGACCACGUCGAACUAAGGGUGAGAGUCAAGAACCACACAUGCGACUGCGACGAUCAUGCCAGAACGAGUGGGUAGACGAGGUAAGUGAGUCGAAGAGACUGGCGGCGGUGGUAGCGGAGGGAAGGCGAAGCUUGGCACACUCCAGAGGGUGUGUGACUCAUAGCACCGAGGGCCAACACCAAGUAGAGAACCCGUGUGCCGAUCCUAAAUCAGAACAAGAGUCGAAGUCGAGAAUGACCCUACAACCAAAUUAAAAAAUCUAUCCUCCUGAAAUGAGCUGCCUGUUAAGUAUCAUUGGCAGUAAGAACAUGUACAUGAGAAUUUAGAGGGCCAUUGCGGUGUCGACUGCCUGUGCAGCUAUGGUGGCGUGCAUCAGGUAACACGAGAUGUGGGAUUGAGGCGUCACACAUAGCAGCCCAAAGUCAGGCGAAGGAUGCCCAGUUGGACUGGUAGGGAGCAGAGAGUACAUGUGAGGUGUGGGGGAAGGUAUGAAAACAUUGUUGGGAGCGGAUUGUUGUUGCCGUCGUUUGUUGUACUUGGAGACAAGCGUCGAGGGGAUGGCGAUUGGGGAAGGCGAGAAGAUGGCACUGGGAGGAGAAAGGCAUCAUUUGCCACCGUACAUACAUAUGUGCGUCUGUCAUGACAGUGGACGGUUGUGGGCAAAUCUAGUAUCUACAUGUGGGUUUGUUACUAGGCUUGGUUGGAUCAUAGUUAUGAUUUGUGCUAGAUUCCUUCCUUUGAAGAUUGAAGCUGGAGAACUUUAGGGUGUAGUAUGAUCAACCUGAGAUAUAUCAGAUUUAUAUAGGUAUAGUAUGGUUGGCAUGAGUGUGGUAUUGGUGGACUAUUGGAUCAUCUUGGAUAUUACUACUUGGAUUCUAGGUUGGAGGUAACUUGGGCACUUGGAUUUGUGAUAUUUUGACCUAAGUUUAUGGAUAUGGGCAUGUAGAUGAUAAAUGGAUUGGAGUUGGUAGACUUUGAUGAUUUUGCUAGCCCUCCUCAUAUGUAUUGGACUUAGAUAACUAUGAUACUAGGCUUGGUUGGAUCAUAGUUAUGAUUUGUGCUGGAUUCCUUCAUUUGAAGAUUGAAGCUGGAGAACUUUAGGGUGUAGAGUUAUCAACGUGAGAUAUAUCGAAUUUAUAUAGGUAUAGUAUGAUUGAAAUGAGUGUGCUAUUGGUGGACUAUUGGAUCAUCUUGGAUAUUGUUACUUGGAUUCUAGGUUUAAGAUAAUUUGGGCACUUGGAUUUGUGAUAUUUUGACCUAAGCUUAGUAGUUUGUAUGUGCCCCAUAUGAAUAUGAGCCACGGAGAUGAUACAAAUGGAUCGGAGUUGGUAGACUUCGAUGAUUUUGCUAACCCUCCCCAAAAAUGUUAUGUACAAGAUCAUCAUGGUCGUGGAGGGAAAACUAGGCAUGACUCAACCCAAUGUAUAAGAAGAAAUAUGAUUUUGACCAUGCAAAUGGAAAUACAUGUACAUGCAGUGCCAACGGAAAAAAUGUUAAUUUAGUGGAUUCUGGUACGAAGCCACCUUGCAAGAGGUUAUUGAGUGCAGGCAACCCUGCGUUGGUGAAGGACCCUUCCUUGGCACCGGAGGAAAUGAAGUGACAGGGGUCUUAAGACUGUGAGGGAAAAAUUGGGACGAGUGACUCAGCUCAGGGUUCCUCUUUGCAAGUUCAAGUGAAAAGGCAGAGGAUGGCAGGGCGUGCUGCUCUUGAUAGCGUUUGCAUCGCUUCUUCAUACCUCUCGUGCACUCUUCGUUUCCCGCCGAUUCGACUUGGCGUCCUUACCUUGUUUGAGGGUUAUGUGUCACGGACUUGGUUCCGCAUCCCACGUUCCCUUGCUAGGAGUCCCUAGCCUUGGCGACAGGUAGCGACGUGCACUUGGGCGCUUGGCGUCCUUGGGUAAGUUCGGGGGCGGUGCCCAAGCUUGCAGCUAUGGCGACAACUUGCAUGGGAGCAGAUGAUGUAGGAACAAGGCAGCACACGAGUAACUCGCAGCCAGGGAAAUGAUACCUAGCCGGACAUGCAGGCAGUGGAGAGUACACAAGAGGUGUGGGUAGGGGUGAAAACGCUGCCGGGGAGCUGCUGCCGUUAGUUAGCCUUUAGAUCCAGAGCUGAGUGGCGAGGGUAUGAUCAACCUAAGAUAUAUCAGAUUUAUAUAUGUAUAGUAUGGUUGGCAUGAGUGCGGUAUUGGUGGACUAUUAGAUCAUCUUGGACAUUACUACUUGGAUUCUAGGUUGGAGGUAACUUGGGCACUUGGAUUUGUGAUAUUUUGACCUAAGCUUAGUAGCUUGUAUAUGCCCCAUUGGAUCAUCUUGGAUAUUACUACUUGGAUUCUAGGUUGGAGAUAACUUGGGCACUUGGAUUUGUGAUAUUUUGACCUAAGCUUAGUAGCUUGUAUGUGCCCCAUAUCUGAUAUGAGCAUGGAGAUGAUACAAAUGGAUCGGAGUUGGUAGACUUUGAUGAUUUUGCUAGCCCUCAUAUGUAUUGGACUUAGAUACUAGGCUUGGUUGGAUCAUAGUUAUGAUUUGUGCUGGAUUCCUUCAUUUGAAGAUUGAAGCUGGAGAACUUUAGGUGUAGAGUUAUCAACGUGUGAUAUAUCGGAUUUAUAUAGGUAUGGUAUGAUUGAAAUGAGUGUGGUAUUGGUGGACUAUUGGAUCAUCUUGGAUAUUUGUAGGUUAUUGAGUGCAGGCAACCCUGCGUUGGUGAAGGACCCUUCCUUGCGCCGGAGGAAAUGAAGUGACAUGGGUCUUAAGACUGUGAGGGCAAAAUUGGGACGAGUGACUCAGCUCAGGGUUCCUCUUUGCAAGUUCAAGUGAAAAGGCAGAGGAUGGCAGGGCGCGCUGCUCUUGAUAGCGUUUGCAUCGCUUCUUCAUACCUCUCGUGCACUCUUCGUUUCCCGCCGAUUCGACUUGGCGUCCUUACCUUGUUUGAGGGUUAUGUGUCACGGACUUGGUUCCGCAUCCCACGUUCCCUUGCUAGGAGUCCCUAGCCUUGGCGACAGGUAGCGACGUGCACUUGGGCGCUUGGCGUCCUUGGGUAAGUUCGGGGGCGGUGCCCAAGCUUGCAGCUAUGGUGACAACUUGCAUGGGAGCAGAUGAUGUAGGAACAAGGCAGCACACGAGUAACUCGCAGCCAGGGAAAUGAUACCUAGCCGGACAUGCAGGCAGUGGAGAGUACACGGGAGGUGUGGGUAGGGGUGAAAACGUUGCCGGGAGCUGCUGCCGUUAGUUAGCCUUUAGAUCCAGAGCCGAGUGGCGAGGGUAUGACGAUAGGGGAAGCAUGGAAGAUUCCUUCCUUUGAAGAUUGAAGCUGGAGAACUUUCGGGAGUAGUAUGAUCAACAUAAGACAUAUCGGAUUUGCAUAUGUAUAGUAUGGUCGGCAUGAGUGCGGUAUUGGUGGACUAUUAGAUCAUCUUGGACAUUACUACUUUGAUUCUAGGUUGGAGGUAACUUGGGCACUUGGAUUUGUGAUAUUUUGACCUAAGCUUAGUAGCUUGUAUAUGCCUCAUUGGAUCAUCUUGGAUAUUACUACUUGGAUUCUAGGUUGGAGGUAACUUGGGCACUUGGAUUUGUGAUAUUUUGACCUAAGCUUAGUAGCUUGUAUGUGCCCCAUAUAUGGAUAUGAGCAUGGAGAUGAUACAAAUGGAUCGGGGUUGGUAGACUUUGAUGAUUUUGCUAGCCCUCCCCAUAUGUAUUGGACUUAGAUAACUAUGAUACUAUGCUUGGUUGGAUUAUAAUUAUGAUUUUUGCUAGAUUCCUUUGAAGAUUGAAGCUGGAGAACUUUAGGAUGUAGUAUGAUCAACUUGAGAUAUAUCAGAUUUAUAUAGGCAUAUGUGAUUGGCAUGAGUGUGGUAUUGGUGGACUAUUGGAUCAUCUUGGAUAUCACUACUUGGAUUCUAGGUUGGAGGUAACCUGGGCACUUGGAUUUGUGACAUUUUUACCUAAGCUUAGUAGCUUGUAUGUGCCCCAUAUGGAUAUGAGCAUGGAGAUGAUACAAAUGGAUCAGAGUUGGUAGACUUUGAUGAUUUUGCUAGCCCUAUUGUGUAUUGGACUUAGAUAACUAUGAUACUAGGCUUGGUUGGAUCAUAGUUAUGAUUUUGUGCUAGAUUCCUUUGAAGAUUGAGGCACUACUUGGAUUCUAGGUUGGAGGUAACUUGGGCACUUGGAUUUGUGAUAUUUUUACCUAAGCUUAGUAGCGUGUAUGUGCCCCAUAUGGAUAUGAGCAUGGAGAUGAUACAAAUGGAUCGGAGUUGGUAGACUUUGAUGAUUUUGCGAGCCCUCCUCAUGUGUAUUGGACUUAGAUAACUAUGUUACUAGGCUUGGUUGGAUCAUAGUUAUGAUUUUGUGCUAGAUUCCUUUGAAGAUUGAAGCUGGAGAACUUUAGGGUGUAGUAUGAUCAACCUGAGAUAUAUCCGAUUUAUAUAUGUAUAGUAUGAUUGGCAUGGGUGCGGUAUUGGUGGACUAUUGGAUCAUCUUGGAUAUUACUACUUGAAGGUUGGAGAUAACUUGGGCACUUCGAUUUGUGAUAUUUUGACCUAAGCUUGGUAGCUUGUAUAUGCACCAUAUGGAUAUGAGCAUGGAGAUGAUACAAAUGGAUCGUAGUUGGUAGACUUUGAUGAUUUUGCUAACCCUCCCCAAGAAUGUUAUGAGUACAAGAUCAUCAUGGGAGGAUGAUUUGGAUUAAUUAGAAUAGAUGGCAAUUUCAGUGGUAUGUGCCUUUUUGGGGCAGCUGAUCUUGCUUUUAUUAUGUGUUGGAUGCAAUAGUAGUAGGAGAGUAUGACUUAUGAAGUGAUAUUAUAUUCUUGGAUAAAUAGAUAUUUAAUGAACCUUGGGUGAUUGUGAUCUUGAAAAAAAAUCUCGUGGAUGAUAACUUCUAAUUUUUGUAUUUGUAUCUAUAGUCAUCAAGUGCAAGCUUGCUUUAUAUUGGACUUGCAAACCGUGAUAGGCUUGGUUGGGUCAUGAUUAUGAUUUGUUCUAGAUUCCCACCUUUGAAGAUUGAACCUGGAGAACUUUUGGGUGUAGUAUGAUCAACCUGAGAUAUAUUGAAUUUAUAUAGGUAUAGUACAAUUAGCAUGAUUGUGGAAUUGGUGGAGCAUUGGAUCAUUUUGGAUUGAAUUACUUGUAAGGAAACAAAGUUCUUUGAGUAAUAGAAAUAGUGUUUGGUUAGAUGAUAUAACUACUUGGAUUCUAGGUUGGAGAUAAAUUGGGCACUUGGAUUUGUGGAUUUUUUUUACCUAAGAUAGUAGCUUGUAUGUGCCCCAUGUGGAUAUGAGCAUCGAGAUGAUACAAAGCGAUUGGAAUUGGCAGACUUUGAUGGUUUUGAUGGCCCUCCGUAAGAAUGUUAUGAGUACAUGAUCAUCAUGGAAGGAUGGUUUGGAUUAAUUAGAAUAGAUGGCAAUUUUGUUGGUAUGUUCCUUGUUGGAGCAGCUGAUCUCGAGAAAUGCGCAUCCGACGACUCACCAGAUCCGAACACCGACAACCCUUGUGCUCGUCACUGUAAACCUAAAAAGAACAUAUUGGUCAGACAGUUUGGUGCGUGAAGAACGUAGCAGAAGCUACCAAACAAACGAAGUGUUUAGUAGUUAGGAGAAUGCCCACAAAGACACACGAGAGGAAUAUCAUCGUGUAGAUCAGAGGAAGUAUGAAUGUUGAUGAGAUAGGUGGCUAUGAUCAUCAACGCACUAUCCGCCUCAUGAAGGUGCCGAUGCUUGCGCUCAGAGCGGCACCAUUCUGAGCCUGAGCACGAGGAUAAGAGAACUGAGCAAGUGUGAUAGCUUGCAUGUGCCCCAUAUGGAUAUGAGCAUGGAGAUGAUACAAAUGGAUCGGAGAUGGUAGACUUUGAUGAUUUUGCUAACCCUCAUAUGUACCGGACUUAGAUAACUAUGAUAGUAGGCUUGGUUGGAUCAUAGUUAUGAUUUGUGCUAGAUUCCUUCCUUUGAAGAUUGAAGCUGGAAAACUUUAGGGUGUAGUAUGAUCUACCUGAGAUAUAUCGGAUUUAUAUAGGUAUAGUAGGAUUAGCAUGACUACGGUAUUGGUGGACUAUUGGGAUCAUCUUGGAUCUUGCUACUUGGAUUCUAGGUUGGAGAUAACUUGGGCACUUGGAUUUGUGAUAUUUUGACCUAAGCUUAAUAGCUUGUAUGUGCCCCAUAUGGAUAUGAGCAUGGAGUUGGUAGACUUUGAUGAUUUUGCUAACAACCCCCCCAAGAAUGAGUGUGGUGAGAUAUAUCGGAUUUAUAUAGGUAUAGUAGGAUUAGCAUGACUACGGUAUUGGUGGACUAUUGGGAUCAUCUUGGAUCUUGCUACUUGGAUUCUAGGUUGGAGAUAACUUGGGCACUUGGAUUUGUGAUAUUUUGACCUAAGCUUAAUAGCUUGUAUGUGCCCCAUAUGGAUAUGAGCAUGGAGUUGGUAGACUUUGAUGAUUUUGCUAACAACCCCCCCAAGAAUGAGUGUGGUGAGAUGAGAUGAUACAAAUGGAUCGGAGUGUAGACUUUGAUGAUUUUGCUAACCCUCCCCAAGAAUGUUACGAGUGCAAGAUCAUCAUGGGAGGAUGAUUUGGAUUAAUUAGAAUAGAUGACAAUUUCAAUGGUAUGUGCCUUUUUGGAGCAGCUGAUCUCGCUUUAAUUAUGUAUUUGUGCUAGUUUAGAUGCAAUAGUAGUAGGAGGGUAGCAUAGGAGGUGCCUCCCCCUUGCCACCGUCAAGGCCGAAACCUGGCGAGAGGGAGACAUGCAUGAGCGGGUCGGGGCAGAAAGCACAAGGCUGCACUGUAGCAUCUUCAUCGGCACCUCGUUGGCGUCAUCCACCCAUGCCCUGACGACAAAGUACGAGAGGUCGAGCCUGUCGAAGGAUUCAAUGGCCAUAUGGUAGAUUAGGCAUUCGGGCAACAGUUCUUGGGUGGUUUGAGGCGAGAACUCCCGCAGGGGAUGCGUUGGAUGGACAGCCCAACGCUGUAGCAGCAUUGAACCGAUGUGGCGAAGGUUAUCUUGUUCGACCGCCACACUAGGAGCGGCGUGCCACGGUAGUGGACUGCGUCCACCCCACGAACCAUGUUGAACCACCGGCAGUGCGUGAAGCUGGCGAAGAAUGAUCCUAGCUACAUGAGAGAGACCUGAAAGCCGUUUGUUCGAAAGCUCCGGGAAGUCGUCCUUAUGCCCUCAACAAUUUUUACCAGGAUUAGAGACGACCUCGUACCCGCCACCAUGAGCACCAGCGCCAAAUCCCAUAGGUAAGAACAUAUCCUCGAUGAGGCACCUCGUCUUGCACGAGCGGGUGUUGCCCCUCGCCGGGUCGUACGCGAACCUAGCCGACAUGGAAGGCUCCAGCGACGAAAGGGCGGGUGGCUCCUUGUCGGGAAAGGUGAACCUGGAAUGAGUUGGCGAUUCGGGUGGUCGAGGGGUGGGGGGGGGGGGGGACCAGCCUGGAUUGGACUGACUAGCGGCGGCGGCAGCUGCACUCACGGCCUUGGCGGUGGUCAAGGCGGGGCUAAGAGUAGUGAUGGACUCAUUAGCGACGGCCAGGUCAUCAUGUCGGCGCGUGAAAAGUUCCUUCUGAAGCACAUCCUCUAGCCCAAGUGGUACAUUUGUUCAUUUGUGAUAUGUUCUGUUAGUGUUAUGUUCUCGUUGUCUCUUGCUCUGUUUCUCUUGCCCACAGGUACAUUUGUUCAUUUUCGUAGACCUGCUAUGUUCUAUUGUAAUUCGAGUUCAAAUGUCAAGUUGCGCCGCCACAAAAUGCUGCUACUUUAACUUCUGUAAGCGCAGCGAGCAGCGUAGGCGGCCGCUGCAGCUGCUCACAUGGAACGUAUGCCCUGUUGCAGCCUUGCAGGUACCCACAUCCCUCCCUCCUCUCGAUUUGAUCCCCAUAAACUCUCAGCUUUAUUUCUGUGGAUUUUUGUUUUAUCUAUGCCUGUUAUGUCUUUGACAAAAUCCAAGCAGAUUGAGGGCAAGAUUUUGUGCUUAGUUUUUUACUCAAGUAUUUCUUCUUUCUCUCAAAUUUAGCUCCAAUGAACUGAAUUUUUUUGGCAUCACUUUUUUUACCUGGAGAUCAUUAUCAUCUCAUCUCACCACACUCAUGCCACAUAACCUGGCGAGCUCACUCCUUACUUAUUCUAUGUACCACAUUUGUAGAUCAGUUUAAGGUACUGUUAAUGAACCAAAAGUUAAUGUUGUUGGCCUUGCCAAAAUGCCAUGAAGCUUAACAUUCGACACUUCCUUCAAAGGGGUCCUUCAGCCUCCAAGGAGAAGGGAAGUGAUGUCUGACAGGGAAAGAAACUAGGCGAAGCUCUGGAUGCUCGAUCGGGUACGCACCCAAUUAGCACUCUACUUCGUCGGUUGUCCACUGAAAUUUGCUCCAUGACAUCUUGCUUGCCAUGUGGUCUCCUUACCUCAAAAUUGACAUAUUAUAAUCUAUGAACUACUACAAGUAAACUAUACAACCAAAUGAUUGUUCCAAAAAUUCAAAUUUGCACCAUGCUUUCCACCUGAUCUGCCAGUUUAACUAUCUUAAUUGUACCGCAGACAUUUGAUGUGUGGUAGUACGUGUGUGAUGAAGCAUGGUGUAGUAGCAAACUAGCAACUGUUUCUGACAUACCAUGGAUUUCUUUCUGCCUCUAUUUGAUGCUCGGUGGUGCUGAUCCGAAGGUCCGUGCGGACCCUGCUCUGGACAUAUGUCUCCUUAAUUUCCGUGUGCAAUUGUGCAAUCCAUGCUUUACACUUUAAAAUGAGAAUAAAAUUUAGCUCAUGUUGCCCUUCCAUCAUGCACCCAGAAUAUAUUACCUUUCUGCUUUUUAUAUUUUGGUUGGGCAUGUUUCAUGAUCAGAGGAUCGAUGAUUUGUGAUGAUUUGUUAUGCUAGACAAUGGAAAUAAGAUUUGGUGGAAAACAAAUGAUAUGAUAGGUGAUUUAUGAUGUACUACUAUUUUAGAUAACAAUACUAAGCUUUUAUUUGGUUGUUCUGCAUUUUUCCCUUUGCGAAGAUAGAUAUUAUAAGAGAUAAACAUCAUGUACAGGUUAACUUUUUGUGUGCCUAUUAGUAUGCCUUGCUGCCAAGUGGAAAUAGUCUAUAUGAUGCUCAAAAAUAGAGCUUCCUGGUGGGAAGGAUGAGGCACACUCAUUGAUACUUUGGUUUUAUAUCCAUUUGUUAUGCAGUUUUUCUCUUCCAAGCAUAUAAACUUUAGCAAAUUAGAGUGUGCAAUCAAGUCUCCUAAGUGAACAUUUUUACCAUAUUAUCAAGUUUGAGGGCAUAUACGAUACGAGCAUAUAAGAUAAGAGCAUGUCAUGCUACCUGAAAAUCUGCCUGGAGAUCUAAUUCCGUAUUUUUUCUAUUUUGUCGUUUAGAAAACCAGUUUCCUGAGUUGUUAGUCUGAGUAUUCAAAUUGAUCCGCAGAGUUCAGGGCUUCUGGAUGGAAGAGUUUCCUACAACGUCAAAAUCUUAGUACUCUCUACAUAGACUUCAUAAUUAUGCCUGACUUUUUCUGAGGAAUUGUUGAAGUAUGCCUUUUCUUUGGGUUGUUUGUGCAUUUGCAGUGUUGGAGGUGUUAGUGCAAGAUUGUAGAGUUGGAAAGUAUAGUAAAACGUCAGUUGGUGCAGGGACUUGGUGAAGCCAUCAGCCUCAACUGUGUCUGCUUCCCCGAUGGUUUUGACUUCUGACUAGUGAUUCUGAUGCAUAUUACUUGAUGAUUUGGUCUUUGUGGCAACUUUCAGUUUGAACUGGCAUUCAGUGGCUUCAUCCUCUUUGGUGCAGCCUGGAGUUAGUAGUGUGCACAUCUGAAUCUCUUGACUUUUUCCUGAAGCAUAUUACGUGGUUUAUGGUGUCUGCUAACUUGCAUGCGAUUUUGAUGGAAUCUGAUCUUGUUUUUUGCUCCCAGUAUAUACAAAAGGCUAGAAGUAAAUGAUGGAAGAUCCUUUAGUCUCAACGAGGGUUCUACUUUUGUACUCAAAGUUUGUAUGGUAGAUAAUCAAAUUUUGUUCUUUAGCUUGCAAAAUUAUCAGCUUAUAGAGAAGUAAAUGUUGCAUUGAGCUCUUAUUAUCUCCACUAGCAGGCAGAAGAGUUUAAGCCUGUCAUUUAGCAAAUGUGUAGCUUAAUUUAUUGUUGCUUGUAUCUGCUACUAAUAGUUUAUUGUGUUUUGGUAAGUGAAAAUAAUAUAGUGAGCAGUAUGGAUCACUUAGUUAAUUACAUGACUUGGAGGCAUUCAGGAUGCAUGAAAAAGUUCAGCAGGGUGAGCACUGGUCUAAGAGAGUACACUAUCUAGCUAAAUUAUUUACAGAUGAAGAUAAAGUUGGUGGAGUUGCUUGUGGCCUGUCAGCACUCCGGAUGAUUUGCUAUUGGCCUUCAUGCUUGGAGUCGAGAGAAUAAUUCUUUUAAGCUCUGGUUGUUAUAUAUUCUUGGCAGACCUGAGUGUUUGGGUUUAUAUUGGAUUUUCGUGCAGAAAAGAUCCGCUGGCUUUGUAUGCUCUCAUGUACAGUGUGCUCAGAGGAUGGCAGAGUUGCAAUGAUAUCUUUGUUCGAUGUAUCAUCUGCCAUUGGUACAUAGGAUGAAGAAGGUGGGAUGGCCAGGCAGCGUGUUGAUCAUCAGGAGUAGCGGUAACUGGUCUUAAUUCUCUAAGUAUUCUGUUGCUCAUACAUGGAAAUGUAAAUUGCUUGGGAUGUACCUUGGCCAUGGCUGUGCAUCUGGACAGUUAGAACAACCAUAUGAUCCAUUUCCAUCUGUUCUCGUUUUCUCCCAGCAAACUUUACAACUCAUAUACCACCAGUUAUUUCAGUGACUUUGAUUCUCAGCUUAUAGUAUUUCUUCUACACAUGUAUUGAAAAUAUGUAUUCCGGCCGAAAGUAUAUGUAGUUGUAGAAAUGACGGUGGAUUAUUUUUAAAUACCAGUGUCAGUGGGAUCAACCAAAGCAUUGAUAGUGAUUUCUGUUGUUU
Triticum aestivum (bread wheat) is the source of this 15825-nucleotide long non-coding RNA. RefSeq lists it as uncharacterized. The transcript has 4 exons. NCBI's taxonomy places the organism in Eukaryota, Viridiplantae, Streptophyta, Magnoliopsida, Poales, Poaceae. The record is from RefSeq and is a predicted model, not a curated record.